RNAcentral lists this ribosomal RNA (993 nucleotides) under Triticum aestivum (bread wheat). RNAcentral describes it as "partial small subunit ribosomal RNA". The record is from RNAcentral. Lineage: Eukaryota; Viridiplantae; Streptophyta; Magnoliopsida; Poales; Poaceae.
AUGAGCCUGCAGAUUCCGGCUAGGUCACGCAGCCUCCGCCGCCUCCUCCUGCUGGGUGGAGAAUCUGGCAUCCGGCGGUCGUACUCCACCGGUGACCGUCGCCGCCGGGUGAUCCACGAGGCACGGGAUGAGGAGGAGGACGAGGCCUUCCUCCGCACCCUCAACUUCGGGGCUGACCCAGAGAACAACCCCCUGCCCCCACCGCUGAGACGCGCAGGGGGAGCCCCUGACCCCUCCGCCACCGGCGCCUUCCCUGCUGACAUCCUCCGACGCGCCGCCGGGAAGCAGCAGCGUCCGGAAAGGAGCGCUCAGAAAGCCAUCGGGGAGUCGCUGAUGGAGAAGCUUAAGCUGGGCGACGCCGCCUCCUCCACGGGAAGCAACAUCGAGGCUCAGCAGCCUGACCACGAACCGGGGCCGCCACUGCAGACGGAGGACGUGGACGGCAUCUUCCGGAAGAUGAAAGAGACGGGGCUGAUACCCAACGCCGUCGCCAUGCUCGACGGCCUCUGCAAGAACGGAUUGGUACCGGAGGCCAUGAAGCUGUUUGGUCUGAUGCGCGAGAAGGGCGCCAUCCCAGAGGUGGUCAUCUACACCGCUGUUGUCGAGGCCUUCUGCAAAGCAGCCAAGCUGGACGAUGCCGUCAGGAUCUUCAGGAAGAUGCAGGGCAACGGGGUCAUUCCAAAUGCCUUCAGCUACUGGUUGAUUAUACAGGGUCUGUGCAAGGGCGACAGACUGGAUGAGGCUGUUGCUUUCUGUGUGGAGAUGUUCGAGGCUGGGCAUUCCCCGAAUGCUGCAACGUUUGUGGGUUUGGUUGAUGCAGUAUGCAAGAUGAAGGGGGUAGAGGAGGGUGACAAGCUUGUGAGGAGCUUCCAGGAUAGGAACUUUGCCAUUGAUGAGAAGUCCAUCAGGGAACAUUUGGACAAGAAAGGGCCAUUCUCACCGAUUGUUUGGGAGGUGAUCUUUGGGAAGAAAAAAACAAGCCGCCCCUUUUGA